RNAcentral lists this non-coding RNA (233 nucleotides) under Coprobacillus sp. RNAcentral's name for it is "T-box sequence". It matches the Rfam family "T-box leader". Rfam says of the family: Uncharged tRNA acts as the effector for transcription antitermination of genes in the T-box leader family. T-boxes are found upstream of many aminoacyl-tRNA synthetase genes and some amino acid biosynthetic genes usually in Gram-positive bacteria. The anticodon of a specific tRNA base pairs to a specifier sequence within the T-box motif, and the NCCA acceptor tail of the tRNA base pairs to a conserved bulge in the T-box antiterminator hairpin. Lineage: Bacteria; Bacillati; Bacillota; Erysipelotrichia; Erysipelotrichales; Coprobacillaceae. The record is from RNAcentral.
AUAAAUACAGUGAGUAGACAUAGUAACAAAUGAUUAAAAUAUAGAGAGUCUUUGGUUGGUGGAAAAAGAUUUGGCGUCAUUUGUGAAUACAGCUAUGAGUAGAAUGUUGAAUUGAGUAGGCAUCUCCGGUGAUCACCGUUACAUGAUGAGAGUAUGAUUGUACUUGAUGAGGCUUAAAGGGUGACCUUUAGGUGAAAAAAGGUGGUACCACGGGAAUAGAGCUCGUCCUUUAU